UAAAAUAUCCAUAAAAAAUGCAAGAGUAAUGCACUAGUUAUGGAUUUAUCCUUAAGGUAUAUUUUGAAUAUAAUAAUAGUUAAAGUGUAUAUUAUAUUCUUCAUACCAACAAUUAACAAUAUAAUUGAGGUGUACAUCCAAAUAUGAGAUUUCUCCAUGGUGGGAUAAGAUAUAAUAGUAGAACUCAAGUCAAGCACGAAAUUUCAUUCCAUAAUAAUUUAUAAAUAACAGGGAGUACAAUGCAGUGCACCUGAGCCACAUUUGAUCACGCAACUUUUCUAAUUUCUACUAGUCAAAAGCUUCCAAGCUUCUUGGCUGCUCCCUCAGUUGUUGAAAUUGAAUAUUUGAAUACGAUCAUCAGUUCUUGAAAUUCACAUAUACUAACUAGGUGAACAAAAGUAAUUCUGAAAUAAUUCUUUUCCAACAUGAUUAGAACCAAGAGAAUGUUUUGUUUCGGUUAAUCUACUCUUACAUCCUUCUUCUAGAAAUAAACUUCUUCUUUUGCUCCUCUCACACCUCUCCUUGUCUUGCAAACUCUGAAUUUAGAUGAUACCUACAAAAGACACUCUGACUCUUAAAUAAGCUCCGAAUAAGCUUUAGGUGUUCGAUAUUAAUACUGAAUGAUAACAUACUUAAUUCUUGAAAUUUGUAUUUAUUUAUAUAAUUAUCGUAAAUCCUUUGUUAUUGGACUAGUUUAAGGAUUUGAAUAGUAAUUAAGAACGUAUUACCUAAUCAUUGAUUAUCCCUUUUGGAUACUAUGGUUUCGGUCACAUCUCAUUAAUCCCUUUUGGAUACUAUAGUUUCGGUGAUAUCGGUCGACUGAGUCCCAGGUCGGGUCCAGGCGGUACAUUAGUUGUUCAUAAUUGAUUCAAUCUAAUGACACUUCAUUUCCAGAUAAAGCAAUCUCAUUAUAAAGCUUGCAGUGUACAACACAACAUACCCGCAAGAAUUUUCAUAGUGCAAGGCUGAGUUUUCAUCACAGCCAUCUUAUUGACAAACAAGGAACAAAAAGACAGCUCCUAUAUACUAUUAAUGGUAACUCAUUAUAAAGGGUCAUAAAUCACAAUAAUAACAACUAGCAUGCUGCUGCAUGGAUACGGCUGCUGAUAUCUUUGCUAGCAGAGGUUUCUUUGGAACAAUGUUCAUGCAACGUUUCUUCUUCCUUUUUCUCUUCAUGAUCACCCUUCACAUCCAAAAAACUGGGUUGAUUUGUAGAAGAUAAAAGCCUAGCCCACAUUCUAUCAGUUAUCACUACGUGGUUCUGUCUCUCAGUGAUUCUCUGCAUAACAAGGCAAAAAAAACAUGAAAUGUUAUUAGAAAUAGGUUUAUUGAAUGUUGAUAAAAAUAUCUUACUUAUUCUUUGGAACCAACAAAUAUCAUGCAUGAUGAACUUACGUAGAAGGGUAUGUAAGUUUGUCUUCCAUUGACAAGUCCACUUGUAUAGCCAGUGUAACCUGCCAUUGCUCCAUGAACAGCACUUUGAGCAAGAAGUGUACAAUACACGUUGUCAGAGGCAUUGCUUGGAACAGCACGGAUCAUGUAAGUUGGAUCUGUAAAACAGAAAAGCGAAGCGCUUUUUCAGCCAUUGCACUUUUCAGUGUGUGCACAGAUGAAAUCCACGGAGUUUAAUCUCUUUUACAAACCUAUGUAUUUGAGUGUUAUGGGUAGCGUCUUCUGUUCAGCAAAAUGAUCCUGCGAGGUCAAAAUGCUUAAAGUAAGCAACAGAAAAUAUCAUCAUGAACGUUUAUCAGUUGAGAAAAAAAUCGUAAAUAGUAAUAUAAAGCAUAUUCUGUACGAUCUAGCUUCUACCACUUGAACAACAUUGUGCUAGGAGUCCUACAACAUGUAAACUAGUGAUGGCAGUGAUAGUAGGGUGAUGCUAGACAUAUCAGUCAAUGAUCAUAGCAUAAGUGUAGGGUGAUGGGCCUGAACCCGAUUAUGUAAUAAGUGGAUCGGUUUCCGAAUUAUAAUACAAGACAAGGCGUUACUUUGGCGUACGAUAGGGGAUCCCGAAUUAACUAGUCUUAAUGACUCAAUCAAGACAAAAUCAGGAAGGAUAGGGUGAAUUUUAUCAAUAUAUAACAAAUGAGGCACCAGCAAGAAGGAUCAUCUCUUACAUACAGUUAAGGAUGCACUCACUCUUGGCUACAUUGGGUGUUUCAAGACUUAAGAUCGACUAGUCCUUUUGUCGAGAACAAUAAGUAAGAACGACCUUUAGGGAAGUAAACAGGUUGAGUUUCACUUUCAACUAAGAAAUUAAGAGGACAAGGCAGUCAUAAAAGAUGAAUAGAAUGCAAAUAAAAUGAAUAACUAUCCAACCUUAAUCUUUUGGGAUAUCCAUAGGCCAACAUCUUGAAGAAGCUUAUUUCCAGAAGCAUCCUGUGUGCUCAUAGACUGCACACUCUCGGAAACAAGUUCCUGUCCUGCUCCUUCAGCAAUCACAAUAACCAUGUGCCCAUUUUCUUUGAGUCUUUUCUCUAUGUAUUCAAAAAGUCCCCCUGGACCUUCAAGGUAAAAGGGUGACUCCGGAAUCAAGCAACAAUCCACAUCUCGACUUGCAAGGGUAGCAUACAUUGCAAUAAAUCCUGCACCAUACAUCCCAAAUGCACCAUAUACUAAGUGAAGUCUGGUUCACUAACAAAGUCAAUAAAAGAACUUUUAAACAUCACAUUAAUGUUAAAAUGAGAGAACAAUGUAUGAUUGAUGGCCUUAACAUACUAAUAGAUGGAAAAAUUACAGAAUGAUUCACAUUUUAUUGAAACCACAAAUGGAUUGCAGAUAGUAGGCAAUUGAUAUUAAAAUUGAACCCUUAAGCAGGGCUGUGGAGGCAUCAUAAGCAUUUAGGAAAAUUACCGCUGUUUCUACCCAUCAACUUGACAACACCUAUGCCAUUCUCAACACUUUCAGCUUCAACAUGUGCCGCAUUUAUAGCUCGUUGCGCCUCCUCAACAGCAGUGUCAAAGCCAAAGGACUUGUCAAUAACCUACUAAGCAACAAAGCGACAGCAGAAGAAUUUUACCAACUAAUGUUGCUAAUGGGGUUUAAAUUAUGAGUUUAAAGCCACGAUGCAGAAGAAAGAAAGAUUUACCGGGAUAUCAUUGUCUAUUGUUUUGGGGAUUCCAACAACUGAAACUUUGAGACCACGCCUCCUGACUUCCUGCAUGCAUAAUCAGGUUGAAUUAUUAGUUACUUGCUACUCUAAUCCAAUUAGUUUAACAGAGCUUAAAUAUCCUAAUGAUCUUGUUAAAAUGUUCAUUCAUAAGUCUGACAGUCACUUCAUGUGAUGACAGAUGAUUCAUGUGAUGGCAGAUGAUUGUUGUUACUUGAGACGUCAGCCUAGUUAAGAUAUCAAGUUACGUAAUGAUGCCUAACAUAAAAGGUUUUAUAAAAAAAAAGGUCUAACAGUCAUUUUAGAUACCUCAAAAAUUACAGAUGCUCCCUUCUGAGUUCCAUCUCCUCCAAUGAUAUAAACCUGAAAUUUAGAAAAAUAUUAAUCUUAUGUACAUACACAAAAAGGAUACUUCUAAAUAGAAAGAAAUGCAGACCUGAUUGAUUCCCCGAUCUUGAAUACUGUCAACUAUCUUUUUGGUGUCAUGUCCACCUCUCGAUGUUCCCAGAACAGUCCCCCCACGCUUAUGUAUAUCAUUCACACUUUUAGGAGUUAAAGUGAUUGUGUUGCGAGCAUAGAAGCCCCUGUAUCCUCCCUUCACAUCAGAACAGCAUCAUUAGUUACAGAUACCAGUAAGAAACUAUGAUAGCAUAUGAUGUCAUUGAAGAUUUACACUUUUAGGCAUGAGAGAACCAAGGAUGGGGAAAAUUAACUCCAGAAUAAAUGACUUUUAAGUGACACCAAAUAAGGAUUAAUAUUACUUCUUUUUUUUUGUGAUGACAGAGUCUUGCAUAGUGAUGUCGGACAUAAAAACUUUAUAUAUAUAUAUAUAUAUAUAUAUAUAAAGUAAAAGCCUGUACAAUUAUUACAAAGCAAGAACAAUGCGUUGGUCUCUUUAAACAAGAGCAAAUUAGUACAUUAAUAACCAACCUCAGGCAUUAAGGUUUGUUUGAAACGACAAAGAAUUGAAAGUUAGGGGUGAAACUCGUAUGAAACAAGCAGAGAACUUUCAGACCUUUUUUUAAUCCCAAAACAACAAUGAAAAACAGUUAAAGAGAAAGAAAAAAAACCAUGAAGAAAGAUUCACGUACAUUGAUUCCCAAAACUUUCUUCACGCCAUACAUAUGGUUCAAGCCACAUACUAAUUCCCUAAUGACAGUGUUGAGCCCGGGGCACAGACCCCCACAAGUAACAAUGGCAGCCUGAACUUCAUCUGCUUCAAAAUACACCUGAACAUCCAAUUUUAGAAGCCAUAAAUAUACCAAAUUUACCAAACAAUGCACCUAAAAUGUACCCCUCUUGCAGACCAGACACACACGUAGAAACGUACCUUUUGACGAGGCCCAGCACGCCUAAAAUGUACCCCUCUUGCACCAUCUUUGUGAACAACGACCUGUCAUAAAAUCAGAGAACAAAAUGGAAAUAAGUGACAGGUAAAUCAAGGUGAGUAGGUAACAACACUGUCCAAGCUGCAAAUGGAAACAAACAUAAAACCCCACCAACAUUCACCCCAUGCAGUUACCAUUCCAUUAAAGUUUGGAUUUGAAGGUGUCCAUACUUAGCAAGGGAGAUGCAGCACCACCUUAACGUAGAAACCAGUUAAUAGCCAAAGCUUUAGGCAUCAUCAGCAAACCCAUCCCAAAUUACCUAAAAAACCAUUAAAAUCGUAACCAGAAACCAACCUUUUGAGGAACGCUGUCAUCAACAUGCACAAAGUACUGCCUGCAAAACAACAAGUAAACAAAAUUCAAUUCACCAAUCAAGCAACAAAGUAAAGGAAAUCACAACACAAGAGACGAAUUAAUCAAUCAACACUCACUUAACAACUGAAUAAGCAGGGUUGUCUUGCAAAGGAUUCGUGUAUGUCUGCGGCAACACAAGCACACAAUAAUCAUACACUAAUCUUGUAAUUAAGUGAAAAAAAAAAAAAAAAACAAGCUACCCAAAAGAAAAAAUUGUGGAACUAAUUACUCAUUUCUGAUCCCAACCCAGAAAUUAAAAAGCUUUUCCAUUAUUAAUUUUUGGUGUCGGCAGGAAAAAGGGGCAAGAAAAAAGUCAUUGGGUUAUAUAAUACGACAAAGCAUUCGAGUGGUUCGAGGAAACAGAGGAAAAAAGGUCCACGUGAUCGCUGAUCAGGUGAUGAAGCAGCUUUAGACGGUGACCCAACAGAAUAUGAGAACGAUGAAAACGACGACGUACUGGGAGAUUAGGAAAGUAAUCGGUCAAAUGGGGAACAUCCUCGAGGACGUAACCAGCUGUGCCGGUGACGACCUUUGGGUCGGUGUUGGCAGGGGAAGCCAUCGCAGCGGCGCGUGACGGCGAUCUGGCAGGUUCGGAGCUCAGCUUGGGAUGAAAGAAACCGUUUUGUUUGAUGGGGUCUUGGUUGUGAUUUGGAAAAUUGGAAUUAGAAUUAGAAUCCAUUCAAAGGUAGUAACAGGAGUUGAAGAAGAUGAAGAACAGAGUGUUCAUAUUUAUAGUAAACGGAGUUGACCGAAGGAAUCAGACACCAAAGUGGAAUUUUCUGAUUUUGUAUGAGAAAUCAAUGAUGAAGGGUAACAGCUUAAAGAAAAAAGAGAAGGUGAAAAAGGAACUUUCUUGUGAAGUAGAAACAGGUGGCUGAAGAUGGAAAUGGAUUUGAAACUGUAUGAUCCACAGCUUUUUUGAGGGUCGGCGUGGAACACAGUGAUGCUAUGCUGUUGUUGUGGGCUACUUCUUUCUUCUAGAAUAAACCUCGGAGAUUCCGGAUUCCUACACUUUUUUUUUUAUUUUUCUUAUUUUUUUCAAAUUCUAUGUUCUGUUUUUUGUUCCAGCAGAAAACAGAGCCAGUCUCUGCCUUCCAUGUCUCUGUCUUCUACCACAUAAAAACUCCAACCUUUUUUUUAUUUUAUUUUAUAAAUUGUAAUUUGUUGGGUAAAAGUUAAAUAAAAAUGAAUAAAUAAAUAAGAAUUCGAUAGAAAUUAGGAAUUUGAAAAUAGUUAGUUGUUCCCUUUAGGUGAAGCCAUGCUCCAUACCUUGGAAGCUCACAUGAAUCAACUUUCCAAUGGAUAUCAAUGUUUUCAUGUGACAUAUUUGCUUGUGGAUGAACAAGAAGAAGUGCUUCUUAGGUUAAAGAUAACUAGAACUUGUAAAAUAUAUGGUUGAUUAGGGUGUGUUAGUGACUUGUUUGGAUUUUUACUAAAAUUUAGUGAAAAUCAUAGCAAAAUAUAUUGACCUUUGAAUUUUGUUUGGGGAACUUUUUCUGAAAAGUCCUUUGAACAACUUAAGGAGGCCAUGAGUUCUUUGUUUGUGAUAAUGAUGCCUAAUUUUGACAAGUUGCUUAUGAUUGAAGACAAGUGCCUGAAGAAAAUAACCAUAUAAAUUAGUAGAUCAUCUUUGAGAUUAAAUACAAAUUUAGAAAAUAAAAAUUGAUUUUAUGUUGAUAUAAUAAAUCUUAUCUUUUUAUAAAAAUGUCAUCAUACAUUUUUAUGACUGACAUAAUAAAUCACUUAUUACGAUGGUUUUAUACUGAUUACGAUGGUUUUAUACUGUUUUGACAUAAGUAAAUACUUAUUAUGUUAGUUUCUAAUUUCAACUGAUGCAUAAUAAAUGUGAUAUUUAUUAUAAAAUGGUUAUCAAACUACUUUUUAUGAGAGAUGGAUUACACUCAUUAUCAUAAAUUAUCGUUGUUUUUUUAUUUUUAAACAAGUGAAUUCUUAAAAAAAAAUUGAAACAAUGUACUUUAUCUACCAGCAUUGUCAUUAAUAGUGAAAUUUUGAGAAAAAUAAAAAAAAAUAGAAAGAUUGAUGAAAGGAAUUGUUGAAUAUAAAUUCACAUCUUAGAUUCUAACUUAGAGAUGGUAACUAUAUUACAUAAACAAAAUAGUGGUUAUAUUUAUUUAUGAGAAUAUAAAGAAUGUUGUUCAUAUUAAAAAAAAUCAUCAAAUACAAGUUUAUAUGAAUAUUAAUGCAAUGAAAAUCAAAAUUUAAGAUUAUCACUGACAAAAAUCGAAUCGAUGUUAUGAUAGUUUUAAGAUUUUUAUAGAUUUACUUACAUGCAUGGAAAAAAAAAUGUACAUGAAUUAUAAUUGAUUAUGACUUUAGUAUGUACAUUAUUUUUUAACCCAUAAACAAUAAAAAAAGACAUCAUUCUUUUAUUCUAUUGUCUACACCUACAAAUGCAUGUUUAUUUUAUUUUAAAAUUAUCCUUUUAUAUCUAAUAAUGAAGUAUGAUCUAUCACAUUUUUUUUGGAAAAUGCACUCUAAACAAUGAUACAAAACAUAAUUUAAAUCAGUUGUCGUUUUAAUAUGUGAGACAUUUAAUUCAUCUAAUUAAAAUCGUGGUAAAAUGUAUAUUUAAUUUUAAAAAUUAAAUAAAGUUUUAAAAUAUUACUUUUAUUACAUAAAUUAUUAUUUUUCAAACUUAAUUUAUACUCAUUCUUAUUAAAAUACAUCCAAGAUCAUGUUUCUAUGAUAUUAUAUAAUUUUCUUUUUCUUGACUUGUCUACCUUUAUAUCCUUCUUUAUUUUUUUUUCAUUUUUUUCCUUUUACGAUUAGUCUUAUAAUUUGUUGAAGCAUUUUUUAAAAAUAAAAUUGUAAUAUAAGACCUACCUUCAAAAUAGACAAUAUUUCAAAUAAUUUUAUGUAUGGAAUUUGAAAUCAAAACAAUAUAAUUAUUAAAUAAAAAAUAUUAAUAUUCAAAUGAAGAGAAAACACAAUUACUUGUUUAAUAUGAAUGUAUAUACCUAAUAAUUACUAUAUUAUUUGUAAAACGAAUAACAAGCUUUAACAAAAAGAAACAUUUAUUUAUUAAUGAUACCACUAACCAUAUUUAGAUUUCAUUGCUCUAAUUAUUAAUAGCACAUUCGAUUCUGAAUGUUGAGUAUGUUCAAGGCAAAGCUUCUACCAUUAAAAAAAAAUCUAUUACGUCAGAUAAAGAUUAUUGACAAGAAAUAAACAAUUUUUUUUAUUAGAGUGCAAUUUUUUUAUAAGCUCAAAACUUUCACAUCAAUGACUGAUUUUUAAUUCUAUAAGUGUUUUCUGAUUUAAGUGGAAAAUAAUUCAGUUUUUCUUGAAUUAAAAAAAAAACUAACUAAAAAAUUACGUAGUAAUAAUUUGUAGAAAGUAAUCACACGUUGAAAUUUUUGUUAAACUAAAGUUUUUAAAUAAUUUGUAAACUAAUAGUUGAUGUCAUUGUUGACCUCAUAUACUAUUAUCUUAAUUAUUUUAGCAAUUUUUUGUUGCAUUACAAACAUCAUGAAAAGCCAAAAUUUUAUUUAAAAAAUAUACAUUAUUAGAUGGAUGAUGUCGUGGUGUAUAUUCAAAAGUGCAUUAUGAAAUAUUAUAAACAAAAUCUUACCAAAAAUAAUUAAUUAUAACAAUAAUACUGCAAAUAAUAACACUUCUGUCAAGCAUGUUACAUGACACCUACAAAUAAUAUUAUAUUUAAAGGAGUUAAUUUUAGUUAUAUGAAAGAACAUUUAUAAUUAAAUUUUCUCAUUCAUUUGGUGUUUUUUUAAAGCUUUCAUAUUUCUUAUUUGGUGUUUUUUUUUAUCUCUAUAAACUAUUCAUCUGUUUUUUUAAUAUUUUUCUUUCUGCUUAAAAUUUAUUAAUAUUUUUCAGUCACAUAACUAUACGAUUAAGUCUCAAAUAGAAGAUAAAAAUUAGGCCCCAUUUUGUUUUUUCAAUAAAAACAUUUUUAAGAGUAAAGUUUGGUUUUUACGAAGUUACACAAAAAGGCCGUGAAUUACAAUAUUAAGAAAAGAAGGUGUGACAAAAUAGUGUUUAUAUAUCAUAAAGUUCUUUAUUAUAAUUUUUAAAACAUAUUUAUUCUAUAAUCAAGUCCUGUUAAAUUUUUUAUGCAUAUUAAUUGUAAAAAUACACGUUUUUUUCUUAAGUAAUAAAUAAUUUUCUGUAUUUACACUUUUUUAUAAUAUCCUAUGUUACUACACACUACACACAUGUGCUAAUUUAGUUGAGUUGAAACAAUAACUAAUCAUUCUAUAAGGAUGUGUUUAAAAAAAUACUUAAUAUAAAAAAGUAUUCCAAAUACCAACAUUAUUAUUAUAAUAUAUAACAGUGUAAACCAUAUAUAAUAUUAGUCAUAACUUUUUAUUAAUUUAACCCAAAAAAAUAAAAAAAUUUAACCUCUCCUUUAAUAAUUUCACAUCAGUGAUAUAUUUUUCAAGACAAACUUAUACUUAAUAAAAAUCACCACUAUUAUAUAUAUAUAUAUAUAUAUAUAUAUAUAUAUUCACAUGUUGUCUUGCGAGUUGAGACGGAAAGAUUAUUACCUUUGUUGGAGAUCUCACAUCGACUAGAGAUUAGAGCCUUUCAUUGUAUAUAAGUGGGUGCAAAUCUCAACCCUAUGAGCCGGUUUUAUGGGGUUGAAUUAGGCUUAAAGUUCACUUUGUACUAUGGUAUCAGAGCCGUUUCGAGUCUAUCCUAGCGAGUAUUUGUUGGGCCUAGUGUCACCAGCUAUCGGGCCGCUAUCGAACCACCCAUAAUAUAUAGUCUCACGCACCCAAACGACUUAUCUCUGUUCUCAUUCUCUCAUUCGCAAACUCUCAGUUUAGAUGAUAACUAUAAAAGAUAUUCUGGUGCUCAAAUGAGAUUUUGGUAUUCGAUACUCGGUGCAAUUAAUAUGUAACAAUGACAUACUUUUUACUCAAAAUUCAUGACUAUUUAUAUGAUUAUUAUGUGUCUUUUGUUACUGAGUGGAUUAGAAUUUUAAAUCAUAAUUAAAAACAUAUUAUUUAAUGAUUAAUGACGUGCAAUUAACCUUGUGUUUGAUUAAAGUUAUGUUAUUUGGGAGCGUCUUCCCGAAUAAUAAAGGCACGAAUGGUGGAAAGUGAUAGAAAAUAAUAUAUUCGCGCAUGCAAAGUGGCAUAUAAAUAAGAGUGACAUGAAGUUAAAAGAAAAUAAAAAAGUGUUUGGACCAAAAAUAAAAAAGCAAUUAUGCUUUGAUCUACAUUUGGACCUUCAAGCUCUGCUCUCUCUGUCAUUCCCCCAGAACCUGGUUCGUCCCCACCACCAAUCUAAUCUUUUAUUUACUUAAUAUAAAUAUUAGUCAAGAUAAAAUUAUAACAUUAAAUUAUAGGAAAUGAAUGAGUAUUGUUGUAAAAUCCAUUAAUAGUAUAUAAAUGAUUAUAAAAUUAAUGAUUAUUGUUGUAGAUGAAAAAAAAUGGUUUAGAAAUAAAAUUAAUUUAUAGUAUAUAAAUGGUUAUAAAUUUGACUUUACAAGUAAGUUAACUUCUUUUUUAAUAAUAUUACAUAUUUUUAUAGAAUAUAUUUUGAGAAGAGUUUGUUUGAUUUAUCAUGUCACUGAUCAUUAUUGAAUCGGGUUUAGAGUUUAGGAUUUAGAAUUUAGGAUUUAUGAUUUAUGCAUAAAUAUUUAGUUCAUUCAAGAGUUGAUAAUUUUAAUGUGAGAAAAAUAUAUUAAAAAUCUCAAAUUAAUUAAAAAUAAUUAAUUUAUAAUAUACAAAUAGGUAUAAAAUAUAUAUUAUAAAUUAAUUUUGUAAAAAUUUUAGAUUAAAUUUAAAGUUCACUUAAAGAUCCUUGAGUGAAAGUGUAUUAAAAAAAUAAAUAAAAAACCAAGUUAUAAUAUAUUUAUAUAAAUAAGUGAAAAAUUGAUCAAUGGAUUUUAUAAAAUUAAAUUAAUUUUUUUGAGUUAUAAUAUCACUCCUAUUUUGAGGAAAAAUAAUAUUAAGUAUGUUAAAAUAUUAAAAUUUUUGAUAUUAAAGUAAAAGUAAUGUUUAGUUGAUUCUCCAAUUAAAUAAAAAGCUAAAAUAAAUAAAUUGUUUAGUUGAGUGAAGUUGAUGAGACACUUUACAGCAUAUGAAAUGGUCCAAAAGAAACAAAAAGGAAUGAAGAGAAAACACAUUAAUGAGUGGUUCUUAGCCAUCCGUACAGGCCUUAUGCCACCGUCAAGCCCUUGCUGCCCAUCCAUCAACCGUUUCUUCUUAUUCAUAAAUUAAUUUUUUUUUAUCCGAUAAACACUCGUUAGGAUAGCUUCAAAAUGAUUUUGAUAUCAUAUUACAUAGUAGACUUUAAACCUAACUCAAUCUUAUAAAACCGGCUUAUAAAGAUGAAAUUUUCAAUCACUUAUAUACAUGAAUUAUUCUCAUAUCUGGUCGACGUGAGAUCUUCAACCGAUAUUUACAUUAAAAUAUUAUUUAAAAUGAACUAAUGUGUAAUGAUAGUAAAACAAUACACAUAGUGUAGCCAAAAUUAUCAAGUGGUGUUAGAACAAAUCAAAAUCCUAAAUAUUCAUAUAGUCCAUUAAUUUGUGAUUAAUCUAUAUAUAUGCAUUUGGCUACAUAACUCAUGGGCUUUCUUAUUCAUUUAACUUACCCAACGUUUUUUCCUUUUGCACGCAACUUAUUUCUCACCAAAUCUUCAACAAAAUUAAUACCUCAUCGGAACUUUCAUCUUAGAUUAACCUUUUCUAACACAAAUAAAUCUCUUCUAAACAUUGAACAAAAUAAUUAAGUAUAUGAUAUAUCUUAAGAAUAUAUAUAUAUAUAUAUAUAUACUUUUUUAAACACUUUGUUAAAAAGUUAAUUUUAGUCUAAUUUAACCUCAUAAAACUUACUUAUAAGGUGAGAUUUGCAUCCACUUAUAAAUAAUGAAAUAUCAUAAUUUUUAAUCGAUGUGAAAUGUCCAACACACCCCUUAUGUUGAGGCUACCAAUUCGUGCGUACGUGGAAAUAUAUGUUAUAGGUGGUCUAAUAACGACCAAAUAACAGGUGACACAAUAUGUCCAACAAACUCUCGCUAAGAUAAACUUUAAAUGACUUUGAUACCAUGUUAAAAAGUGAACUUUAAGUCUAACUCAACCUCAUAAAACCAACUUAUAAGGUGAAGUUUGUACUGAAAUAUCCUAAUAUCUAACCGAUGUGAAAUCUUCAAUACACUUCAAAUUGCAUAACACAUUUAAUUUAACCAACUAGUAAACAUUAAUUAAAAUUGACAGAAGUAAGAUAUUUAAACUAACUUUUUUAAUUUAUUAAAUAUUAAAGUUUAAAAAAUUCUACUGAAUAUUAAAAACAUAUACAAACUUAUAUAAGUGUAAUAAAAUGACUAUAAUAAGAUAAUAUUGUUGCGUGGUGGCUCUGAAGUUGGUGGACUUUUGGUCCGUUAAUUUCACCCACCAUGGAAUUCUACCUCUCAAGCAAUGUUACAAAGAGGCCCAACAAGAAACACAUAAUUGGGUCAAGUUAUGGGCCACCCUCUCACGAAAUUUCUUUUCAAUAUCUGCGCUAACCUUUUUUUAAUAUAAUAAAUUAAAUAUAAAAUAAUUGGGUUUCAUUUUUAAAAAUAUAAAUUUAUAAUAUUCUCUCUUUCUUUCUUAUAAUAUAAGGUCCACCCUUUAUUCAAAUAUUUGAUAUUCCUAACCAUUUUAUUCUUUCAAAUGAUAAUCUUUUACAUGCAUUUUAAAUUUGAAAAAAAUUAACUAUAUAUAUAUAUCAUAAUUUGGAAUUAUUUGUCGUAAAUAUUAAAUAUAUAUAUAUAUAUGCAGGUAUUCGUUUAUUAUAAACGUUAGAUAUAAUAUGAUUUACAUAUUAAAGAAUAUUUGUUUAUGUACCUGUAAUUUUUAAUUUUUGAUUAUAUAAAAACAUUUAUUCUACUAUUUCUUUGUUAAAACACUAGUUAUAAUUCAGUUAGCAACAUACUAAAUUAGUGAGAUACGACUUUAGUUUUCAUAUCACACAUUCUUAAUUAUUUAGAGAUAAAGGAUUUUAGAUGUGACUAAAUCUCUUUCUAAAAAUUAAAUUAAUUAUCACUAUAAGAAAAUCAAGAAAUAGAAACCAAUUUUUAGAGACAAAAAAUAAUUAGCUACUAUAGUGACUAAAUUAAAUUAAAGACUAUUUUAGAGAUUAAAAAAUGUUUGGUUUUUAAAUUAAUUUCUAUUAUUGUUAAAUAUUUUCUAAAUUGUUAUCUAAUUAACUCCCAAUUAUUUAGAUUCUAAAUUGGGUAGAGAAACUUGAUAGCUAAUUAGAUACCAAUUUAAAAACUAUUUAUCAAUAAUAGAAACUAAUUUAGAAACCAAUAAUUUUUUUAGUCUCUAAAUGUAGUAUUUAAGGUCACUAUUUCAACUAAUUAUUUUUUUAUCUAAAAUUGGAUUUUAUUUAAUGAUUUUUUUUAGUGAAAAAAUACUUAAAAAAACUGAAAAAAAUAAUUGUAAAUUGUGCAAUGGAAAACAAAAGUUCACCCUAAAAUUACAGUAAACAAAAGUUAGAGAAGUACUUGUCCUCUGCCACUUGAAAGCAAAUAGAUAUAUCCUACCUUUUUUUUUAUUUAAUAAUAAAAAAAAAGUGAAAAACUACUAUUCAAAUAAAUCAGAAAAUUGAAAGUUCAUGCAAACCCUACCUUUACGUCAUGAAGAAGAUCCUAGCUGGAACUAAAACUCUGUGUUAUACCAUUAAUGUUUUUUCCUUAUUCUUAAUUACCUCCUAAUUAAUUACUUUGUACUUAUUUAAUGAGAACCCUGAUCAUACCAAAUUUGUCUCCUCUGUUAAUUAUAUUAAUUAUUGAUGUUAUGGGAAUGAUAAUUGCACUUUUAUAAUCGAAUUAUUUAUGUGAACCAGAGAUCUAAAGACAAAAAUUUGGGAGUGUUAAUCUUCAUUUGCACUCUAGAAUAUACAUAAACACCGUAUCAAGAAUUGUACUAAUGUACUAUAUUAUUCUUAAUGCAGAAAAGAGAGUAUUUUGGAAUAUUUUUUCUGAAUAUAUAAAAAAAAUAAACACUUCGUUUUAUACUAUUAUUAUCAUUACUAUAAGAGUUGAUGUUCCUCGGAACUGUGUCACCAACCAUUUUAUAGGUGAACAAAUAUUAUUAAAGAGUGGAAUGUUUAUGUAAGACUCAUGGAGAGGAAACAAAGGUUGUGUGGGAAGAUGAAAAUGUGUUAGAAUGUGGGCUCCUUUCCAUUGUUUCAUUUAAGGUCAACUUAAAUGGAUAAUAAAAACGAUUUCAUUUUGUUUUUUUUUUCAUCUCAGAAAAUAAAAUUAAGAGAAACUAAAUUAAAUAGUUAUAGAAUCUAUUAAGAAGUGGACUUUAAGUAUAACUUAACUUCAUAAAACCGAUUUAUAAGGUGAGGUUUGCAAUCACUUAUAAAACAUGAAAUAUUAUAAUCUCUAGUCGAUGUGAAUGAAAUAUCAUAAUCUUUAGUCGAUGUAAAUGAAAUAUCAUAAUCUCUAGUCGAUGUGCGAUCUCCAAUAUAAGUGGGUGCAAACCUCACCUUAUAAGUCGAUUUCAUGAGGUUGAGUUAGGCUUAAAAUACACUUCUUAAUAUAGUAUCAGAGUCAUUUCGAGUCUAUCCUAAUGAUUGUUUGUUGGGCUUAUCAGACCACCCGCUAUCGGACUGUUAUCGGACCAUCUAUAAUAUCUAGUCCCACGCACGAAUUCAUAGUCUCGGUGUCAGGGUGUGUUGGAGAUCCUAUAUCGACUAAAGAUUAAGACAUUUUUUAGUAUAUAAAUAAGUAUAAACCUCACCUUAUAAAUUGGUUUUAUGAGGUUGAAGUAUGCUGAAAGUCCACUUAUUAAUAGAAUCUAUGAAAAUGAAAAAUUUAUUAUGAACAUGUGUUUAAAGAUUUUUAUUUUUAUAAAAGUAGCAUAUGUUAUUAUUUAAAUUUAAAAAAAAAUACAAACAUGGUUGAAUUUUUGUGGGGUGGUGUGCUUGUGCUUGGUCCAAAUUUGUGCAUACUACACCCUUAAGAUAGGAUAUAUUCCUUAGGUGUGUGUGUCUGUCUAAGAAAUUUAAGGAAAAAAAUGUGGUUUUCCUUGUGAUUGUGAGGUCCAUGAAAAGAAAGCAUAGGUAUGAAUUUGCAAAAAGAAAGAAAAACAGAAAAAAGGUAAAAACAGGAGACAAAGGAGCAAUCAUGGCCAUCUAUCUAUACUGCAAACAUGAUUUGGGACCCUCCAUCAUUUUUCUCUUGACUGCUCCAAAGAAUGCUCUUAUAAACGUGAAACCUUGCCAUCAUCUGAUUACAAUACUUUAUCCACCUUAAGAUUUUCAUGCUGGACCCCAACUCUCACUUCCUAUACUAUUUCAUCAAUACUUUAUAUAACCUCCCAAUACAAAUAACACAACCUCAAAUUAUAACUCAACAUUCUUUUCCUUUUCUUUUUAUCAACAACAAACAAUUAAAUUAAAUCGGCACACUUAAUGGUGGUUCAACCCUCGUACAAAGUAAGAUAGGUCAAAGAGUAUCUUUUCACAUACACAUAAAAAAACUAAACAGAAUUCUCCUACUUCCUAAUCCAAUGUUACCAACUAAAAAAAAUAAAAAAUCAAGAAUCAACUCUUAUAAUGACAUUAAAUCAAAUACAUACAUAUCAAAAACUCACCCAUAUCAAAAACUCACCGAAUAUAUGUUUGAUACAUUGUUUUCCCUGCACCAGUAAGUUAAAGAAUUUAGCAGUAAAGUAAAAUUACUAUCUCAACACCUUUUACAAUUAUAGUAAAAGAAAUAGGUUUUUACUUAAAUAUAGACCUCACAUAAAGAAAGUAGUAUUGUGUAAGAUGAUAGUAAUAAACUGAUGUAUUUGGGUGUGCAUCUGUCACCAUUUUCCUUAUCUCAAUACUCAUAUCUAUCAUGAUUUCAUGUAUACUGAUACUGUCAAAGUUCUUUAUUAUUUUUCUAUGCAUGAAAAUUAAGCUUUACUUUUUAUUACCUAUAGGUGUAAACUAUUUGGUACUUCUGGUCCAAGUUAUAUAUAUAUAUAUAUAUAUAUAUAUAUAUAUAUAUAUAUGAAAGAAUAUGAUUUAACAUAGUAAUUAGAAGAGGUGGUGGUCCAUCAAGUACACACAGGUUUGUCUUGCUUAUCAAGCAACCACCUUCUAAUACUCCCCACCCAUCUCUUUCUCUCUCUCUUGUGUGUGAAAAAACAUUCAUGGCAAAAGCAUCAUGAUCAGCACUCCAGCUCAAAACCCAUGUGGUUUCUAUCAUCCCUUUUUCCCUUAUUUCCAUCUGGGUGUCUCACCAUGUCUUUCUUUCUCUCUCUCUCCCCUAAAAAUCUUACCUUUAAUCUCUUAUUCUUAAAUAAUCACACCGUAAUUCUGCCCCAUGUCGUCCUUAUUACUCAAACUCCAAACUUUCUGACACCUAUUAACAACUCACUAUUUGCAUUUCCAAAUCCAUUAAUAUAUAUACAAUACCUGUUUUUCCUCAUAGCUAACACUAAUUAACCAUCACACACAAAAAUGCAAAUCUUUAAUCAAAUUUUCACUGUAGCAACAAAACUCCAAUUCUAGUUAAACAAUAUAAACAAUCUAUACAUUUGGGGUGUGUAUUUUUUAUAAUCAUAUAAAAUAAGACAUAAAUUGUAAGGUUGGUAGAAGAAGCUUGAUGAGUAACAGCUAUGUGGCCGUUUUGUGGCUUUUGCUUUUGUAGUCAAGGCUGAAGGAAAGGUGUAAUACUUGUAGGAUAGAGGGAAGAGAGAGAUUGGAUUUUUUGAGCUUUAGUCAGAAAAAACCAACAGGGUUUUCUUUCUUUCUUUCCUGUUUCUUUGCUUCUCUUUUUCUCUCUCUCUCUCUCUCUCUCUCUCUCUCACUCUCACUCUGUCAUAAACCGCCUACAUACAUGCACUUCUUAAACUAGCAAAGGCUUAAAGGUACUAUAUGUGUGUUUGAAGCAGCAGCUAGCCACCUUUUCCUUUCUUAUUUUUCUCACUGUCUUCAGUUAAAGCAGUGAAUUCUGGUGUUUUCCAUGGUUGAAGCAGGUUUAUAGCUCAAUCUUAUUGUAACUCCCUUCCUCUUUCCUUCAUCUACCUCUUCUUUAUCUUAUCCUCACCCAAUAUUUUCCUUCUUUCCUGCAUAUUCUCAUCUGGGUUCUGCAGAUUUUCUUCUUUCAAGGAUCAAUUUCCUCUCUUUAACAUAGGGAGUUAGUAUUUUCCAUCAUCAUUUUUUGUCCAUGUUCAAGGUUUUUCCCUCUGUUUGCAUAUUUUAGCCUAGUUUUCUCAACCGGAUCAUCAUCUUCUCAAGCAUAUAUAAGUUUCAUUUCUUAAUACAUAUACAUGUUUUAAUAAUUAGCAGUUCUUAAAAACUUAGGAAAAAAAAAAUCAUUAGGCAUGUUAUAUACUGUUGUUUAUGCCUUGUUCAUCCAGCUUCCUCUGUUCAUUUUGGAGAAUUUUGUGUUUUGAUGGAUCUGAAUUGGGUCUUGGAUUGGAUUUUUCUGUAAUAUAGAGAACAAAGUUGGACAUGCUAAGUUGUGGAGUGUUGUAUAAAAAGGGAGUUGCAGUAAUAUUUGAAGGCAUCUGGUUUGAUCAAGAGAGAUAGCACACGUGACGAUGAGUAAGAUGAGCAACUUGAGUUCUGUGAGCAGUUCUGAUCUCAUAGAUGCAAAGCUUGAAGAGCAUCAAUUGUGUGGAUCCAAGCAGUGCCCUGGUUGCGGACACAAGUUUGAAGGGAAGCCGGUACGGAAAAAUAUCUCAAUAAUAUUCUUUCCUUCACUGAAAAGCCUUUGAAAGUGUGUAUGAAGAAGAAUCAUAUCAUGCACAGGCACCAAAAGUAUAGCCAUAUUUCUAUGCUUGUGCCUGUUUUGUUAUUGGACUCUUCAUUUGAUGAUGGGGUUUCCCUUUUUAAUUUCAUGUCACUGCUAAAGUUUGAGUAUUAAUAUUAUCUUUUGUUGAUUAAAGGCUUCACCCUCUUUAUUUUCUCUUUCCCUUGUGUUAUAUUCCUCUUGUUCCUCUUCUCUUUCUCUCUCUCUUUCUCUACCUUUGAUUUUGGUUUUUCACUUGAAUUUCAAUGGAGACUGCAGGACUGGCUUGGCCUGCCAGCAGGAGUGAAGUUUGAUCCCACAGACCAAGAACUGAUAGAACAUCUUGAAGCCAAAGUGGAGGCCAAGAACAUGAAAUCACACCCUUUGAUAGAUGAGUUCAUUCCCACUAUUGAAGGAGAAGAUGGAAUUUGUUAUACCCAUCCUGAGAAACUUCCAGGUGUGAGAUAUUCACAGUUUUUUUUAUCAGCAAUAAAUAAAAUGAACAAGUUGAUGAAAAAGUUCAAAUCACCUCUCCUUAAUUUCUAACUCUCUCCUACUACUUUCUAAGAGUGAUCUUCUAACCAUCUUAUCCAUUAUUCAUAACAAUUUUCAAGGUAGGUUUUACUAUAUAGAGAGAGAGACACCAAAAUCACCUUUGGCAUUUUUAGGAAACUUAUACUAUAAUUAAUGUAGAAAAGGGUUUUAUUUUUGAGUUCACCUAAUUAAGUGGACCUAACUUUGAUUUUGGGUGUGUCUAAUAGGAGUAACAAGAGAUGGAUUGAGCAGGCACUUCUUCCAUAGACCUUCAAAGGCUUACACAACUGGGACAAGAAAGAGGAGAAAGAUUCAAAACGAAUGUGACUUGCAAGGUGGAGAAACAAGGUGGCACAAGACAGGUAAGACCAGGCCAGUGAUGGUGAAUGGAAAGCAAAAGGGUUGCAAGAAAAUUCUUGUGCUCUACACCAACUUUGGGAAGAACAGAAAGCCAGAGAAAACCAACUGGGUGAUGCACCAAUACCAUUUGGGGCAGCAUGAAGAAGAGAAAGAGGGAGAGCUUGUGGUGUCAAAGAUAUUCUAUCAGACGCAGCCAAGACAGUGCAACUGGUCUGAUAGAAGUGCAACAACUGAAGGAAGUGGAGAACCUAACAACAACAGUAGCAGAAGGGACAGUGGAAGUGGAAGUUCUUCUUCCAAAGAAAUUGUUACUCACAGAGAUGAGAUGUCUGCUCCAAUCACUACUUUCACUCAUCACCCUUUCGACAUCCACCAUCUAAAACCCGAUCACUUUAGCUUCAUCCCUUUCAGGAAAACCUUUGAUGAGGUACACUGCAUACACAUACAAUCAUGUAUAUAUAUAUAGCAUCACACUUGAUUAGACGCUUGCAUAGUUAUGAUUUUAACUAGACACCUUUUUUUCAAAUCAAUUAGUUGAAGGUGAUGUCUCACUUACACUGCUCACCAAAGCUAACAUAAUUCACUGAAUUUGAACAUUCUUUUGGUAAAACUUGCUUUUGCACCAAAAAGUGUAGGAUUAAGGUAGCUGCUGAUACAACACCAUUGCUUGCACACACAGCAUGAAUCUGUACGGCCAUGCUUAAUUAUAAAUCAGUUUCAACCAACCACUGCCUCUUACCUACCGCUGAAAGGUAACACCUACACGAGUUGAUAUCACAUGCAGCAAAGUUACAGCUAAAUUAUAUAUACUCACAUACCAAGAAAAAGAGAAAAAGGAUGAGGUUGAUAUGUUCUUCUUUUUCUUUUUUAGUUUGGUUUCUAUCUGUACUUUUCAAUUCAUCUGAAAUAAGCCAGUACAACCUUCAAAAUACUUUAUAAAAAUAACAAAAAAGUAUAAAUGAUAUAUGGUAUCUGACUAAAAAAAAUUAUCUGUGUUCUUGUGCAUAUUUUAUUUACUUUUUCUGAGGGAGAUAUAGUAUAACAUAUAGGAGAAUGCAGGUUGGAAUGGGAGAGGCUUCCACAGCAAGGGAAGUAGUGCAAGCAUCAGGUUCAUGUGAAGAUGUGCAUGAACGGCAGAGAGCACAACAUGUAGCUCAUCAUCAUCAACAACAGCAGCAACAUCAGCAGCAGCAGCAUGCUCAUCAUCAGAUUUCAAACUCAGCUUUUCAUAUCAGUAGGCCGUCACAUCCCAUCUCCACCAUUAUCUCUCCACCUCCCCUCCACCACACUUCCAUCAUUCUUGAUGACAACUCUUACCACCAUGUCUCUAGAAUAAUGCUCCAAAAUGAAAAUUUUCAGGUAAUUUUUCUUUUAUCAACAAUAAAUUAGAUAGAUAAAAGAAAACACGGUGUUACAACUCUUAUACAAAAUGUUGUGACCCAGAUGUGUUCAAGAUGAAGUGAGAGUGUAGGCAGUUCUUAAACAUUAUUAUAUACAUGAUUAUAGUUUUCUUCCUUUUUAAUUUUCAUAAUUGAGAACUACUGUAGCUGUUACCAAAUAUUGGACCAUUGAAAAAGAGUAAGACUGAGUAAACAUUCUAGUUAAAAUGUUUAUUUCAUAAUAACUUGCUACAUAAGGGUUUAUAUCAUGAACUUGACCAUGGAAAUAGUUAAAAUAAACUUAUCAUAGUAAGUUUUAGAGUUCAUUUUGUUAAAAUAAGUUUAAAAAAGGCCAUAACAUACUUUCAUAAUGCACUAACAUUUAUAAUAAUAAUAAUAAACCAUAAAAAAAAGAGAAGCUAAUAAUCAGUGAUAGAAAGAAAACCCAAAGGAGUAAGUCUGCAUGGUAUUGUGCAUGAGUCUUUUGGGAGUGGUUGAAAAAUGAGAAGCAUGAAACUGUCUUUUCACUUUUGAAAAUGUUGAACACGAUGAUUAAGAUGUGUGGUUUGAAUUUGAUUGUUGACCUUGGAAAAUGCAUCUAUGGUAUUUGUACACUUGGCAGCAACAACAGCAACAGCAUCAUAAGCUUGGAGGAAGGUCUGCGUCUGGUUUGGAGGAACUCAUCAUGGGUUGCACUUCAACUGAAAUCAAAGAGGUAACAAACAACUUUUUGACUCAGAAUUAUAUGAACUUUGUGUGUCAUAAUACCAAGAAAAAAGCAAAAGGAGGGCACAUAAUAUAAAGGAAAAAACAAUUUAUUUAUUUCUUUUAUAAAAAUAUUUGAUGUUAGGUAUUAUUAUGCAAUUUAACAUCUCAGUUACACAGAUAUUCAAGUAACAACAAUUAUCUGUCAUCACACAAAACAAAAUAUCAUUAAAAAAAUACAAAAAUAUGGAGGUCAAAACUCAUAUGUUAACAAAAACUAUACAUAGGUAAACUAUAUUUAUUCAUAAAGAAUUCUAAGAAUAGAAUAGAUGGAAGCCUAUUAUACCAAUGAAAUUAUUUUUUAUGAAUAAAUUCUAUAUUAGUAAAAAAUUAUUUAAUUAAUUUUACUUUGAGGUUAUGUUUUUCUUCCCAUUAUACACAGAAAGAAAAAUAGUAAAACAAAAAGUGAGACAUCAAUUCAAGCCGCAAGGAAUUUUAAAGGAAAAGGUUCUUCUUUAUCUCAUUUUUCAAUUGUUCAAGAAAUUGAAACCACUAACAUAAUUUGUUCCCCUCAUUAAUAGUUUUAUCUUUGUUCUUUUUUCUUUAUUCUCAUAAACAAGUUAAUUAAGACUAUAGGAAAAGUGAAAGCCACUUAAUUUAUUUCGUUUUUUCAUUGGGCCAUGUUUGGCAAGACUCCCAUUGACGUUUCACACUUUGACCAUGAGGUGGAAAGGCUAUUUUCAUGAUGAACCACUUAAUUUCCAUUUUCCAUAAUUAUAUAUUUUUUUUGACACAAAAAAUAAUUAAUUGUUAUAUUGACUAAAUUAGAUAUACUAUUUUAGAAACUAAAAAAAAUUAUUGAUGUUAAUAAGUAGUUUUUAAAUUGGUAUCUAAUUAGCUAUCAAGAUUUUUGCAACCAAAUUUAUAAUCUAAAUAAUUGGUAGUUAAAACGUUGAUUGAUAUAACUAAUUAGAUAUUAAUUUUGAAUAAUAGAAACUAAUUUAAAAUAAUAUCUAAUUUAGUGAAUAUAACAACUAAUUAUUGUUAGUCUUUCUCUGUUUAACAAUAUUUUAACAGUGAUAGUUUAACUUUUUAAAUUAAUGAAAAAAUAAUACAUGUAAAUUUUACAUGAAGAUUAAAUAGAACCAUAAUAUUCUUGAACUAUAUAUAUAACAUAGUUUUUCUUUGUGACUUAUGACUAUGAUUAGAAACCUUAACCCUAAUGGUUUGAAUCUCUUUACAGGAAUCAUCCAUGACAAACCCACAAGAAGCUGAAUGGUUGAAGUACUCUUCUUACUGGCCAGACCCUGACAACCCGGAUCAUCAUGGGUAGAAGAAAAGCAAAGAGAGAACUGCAGAGAAAAAACAAAAACCAUGUAGACAGCAUCAUAGUGAUGAUCAUCAUUAAUGCUUGAAGCCUCCCUCAAGUUUCCUUUCAAGAAAAGGCCAUGAAAUAAUAUCCAUAUACUUUGCUCUCUUUUUUGUUUCUUUUCCUAUGGAGGCCUAUUUAUGAAACUUUGGUGACUCUCACAAACACUGUGCAAUGGACAAGCUGGAAAGAAAGAACAAAGGGUGUGGAAGAUUGCAAAUCAAAGAGAAAGAGAAGAAAAAGAAAAGAUAUAAACCCUAGAAAAAGGCUGCUGUCACUUCUGACACAUGGAGAACCAAAGUAAAUGUAUCCUACUGCAUCAAAAUCAUCACUGUUUUCAUUACUAUACCAUUCCCUCUAUAAUUCUUAUUAUUUUAUUGUUUUCAAAAUGUUUGUAUAAUUUCACUUUUCUUGUUUUUUAUACCAGAAAUAUACCAAUGAGUUUGUGCAAUCUGCAAACCACCUUGUUACUCGUGCUGUAGCUAGUCAUCACUUCCUUCUUAUACUAAAAUUCUUCUUUAUAUUUAUAUAUAUAUAAUCACAUUCAUAUGCAAAACGUCCAAAAGAGUGUGUCAUUACGCUUCACUUUCUACUUCUUUUCACAUUUUUGAAAGGGUUUAGAGGGGAAUCAUAUAGCUUUCGCUUUCUCUUUUACAAAUAUAUAUAUAUGUAUAUCUAUGUAUGUAUAUGUUACCGAUAACUUUACAUGGAGUCUCAUGCAGUGGAAGAAUUCAUAGCUAGCUUGUAAGUUAAAUCACACUUGACAGACAAAAAUAUAUACAUAAUGAAAAAUGAAUAAGAAAAGGUUGAAAUCCACUUUACGCGAGGUUUAAGAUAUGAUAAUAAUAUUAUGUAAGUUACCACUUAACUGAGCUUUUAAUUAAUAAUUAAGUUUUGGAUAUACAAUGAUAUUAAAUAUUUAAAGAUAAAGUUUUAUGGUCAAUCUUCAACAAGAUUGAUGACAGUAACUUGAUUUAAUUUGAAAUUCUGCAUUUAUCUGAUCUCAUGCACAUCCAUUAACAUAUUUUCAUUGUUGGAGAUUCACUAUUAGAUUAGAGAUUAGGAUAUUUUAUAGUGUAUAAGUGAGAGUGUAAACUUCAUUUUAUAAACCGGUUUUAUGAGAUUGAAUUAGGUUUAAAAAAGUUCAUUUCUUAAUAUGGUAUCAGAGUCAUUUCGAGUCAUUUCUAACGGUCAUCUACUAUCGGACUGUUAUCGGACCACCAAUAAUAUAUAGUCUCCUGCACGAGUUGGUAGUUUAGGCAUAAGAGGUGUAUUGGAUACUACAUCGACUAGAGAUUAUGACCAUUUUAAGUGGGUUGCAAACCUGAUCUUAUAAUACACAUGAUCAGGGUUAUGUAUCAUAAGGUGCACUAAGUCUCCCACGAAUCUUUUACUGGUGCUGAUGUCUUCCCAGUAGAAAAGAAAACUUACUUUAGGAGAUGAAAUUCAAGAAGAUCUUUUAGUUUUUCAUGGGUCCCCUUAAACUGACCAACGAUCUCUUCUUUGAACUCUAACACUGUGUAACAUGCUAUGCUUACGACUAUGACAGCAUGUGUGUGUAAAACUAUUCACUUUUAAUUUAAAAACCAUUUUGGAAGUUUCAUUGCUUCUGAAGGAAUCUUAUGGACAAAUUUGUGUCUGUUAUGGAGAACGAGGGAGCCGAAGUUCAAAUCUCUUGAUUGAAAUAUUUUGAGUUUUGAUUUUGAAUAGAACAACACAAUCAAGCUACAUUUAUUGGUGCCAUUCUUUUAAUUUUUUAGAAAAGAGAGUGAUACUAGGAGACAGACACCUCUUUAUUACUUUAUUCUGCGUUAGAUUCGAUCUUUUUUCCUGCAGUGUUACAGAGAAAAGAUGAACUAAUCCCAUCUGAGAGAGAAAGAGAGAGAGAGUAACGUGCAUGUUAAUGCUAUCUUUUCUUUCAUGGGACAUGCAUGAUAAAGCUAAAAUGAAGAUGAAGAGGGGGCAACUUCAUUGUAGCUUCUGAAUGGAAUAAAGAGAGAAUAAGAAGACAAGAAUAAACUUUUUAGAUGCUUUUAUUUCUGUGCUCUUUUUAAAUGACUACGUAUCAUUUCACAACUCCUAGUUUCUCUAAGCAUUGGGCUUUGUCUGUGUUACAAAAAGAAAGAUCUUUCUAAUCAUACAUAUACAUGCAUAUCAUUUAUAAAUCACACUACACAAUGUACAAGAACUGUUCCUCAUGAUCCAUGUACUAUGGAUUAAGUAAUUAGAUUAGAUUGUUAUUUUUUGGUAUGUUUUCGAUUAAAAACAAGGAAUUAGUAGUAUGUUGAGUUGGUGUUUCUUUGUUUAGUUUGUAAAAAGUUGUUAUUGUUGUUGUUAGGACUCUUAUAUAGACUUUCACCAGUUCGAUGUAUAAAGGUUGAAACACUCCUAAAAUAGUUAAUAUUUUAAUUAGGUUUUUGUGCAUGUUGUAAGAUAAAUUGAAAGUGAUUAAACAAGAAUAGAAGGAAAAGAGAAAUGGUGGGUUGGUGAUGUGAAACUAUCAAGAGGAAGUGUCUCUUUCCACAUGGCAUUUAAAAUUUAAAGGAGACCUAAAAGGUGAUAUUGAGUUCUUUCACUUUAGGGAAGAUUUUGGAUGCUUUUGGAGAGAAGAGAGGAUAUAUAUGGAGAUAUGAGAAGAGAAGGGUUAAUUAGGGUUAAUUUGUUGGUGUGGCAGAGAUUUGGUCCCAUAAAGAACUCACACAUGCUUCUGCAAAGAGGAAUAUAACAACAUAACAUGCAUGUUAUCCAACUUUUCUGGAUUCUUCCACAUGGGCCCAGCUUUGGGCCUACUUCAAUUUUCAAGGCCCUACCACUUUGGUUUUUUUUUAUUUCACACCUUCAUUUCCCUCCAACUAUUUUCUAUUUUUGGAAGUUAUUUUAAGACGAAUGUAUAUAUAAAUGGGUUAAAUAUAUUAUGGACAUGUACUUUCAGGUGAAAUUGGUUUUCGUUUCAAGUUCAAACUUUAGACCUUCUAGGUAUUUGUAAUAAGAAAAUUAUUAGAACGAGUUAUUGUCAAAAAAAAUUUUACGUGACACACAGAUUUUCAGUGUGGACUACGAUGUUAUAAUAUUUCAUUUUAACUUAUCGUUGACAUAGAUGUUAGAAUAUUAUAUAAUACAGUACACAACGAAAAUUCGUUUUGUUAUGUAAAAAUGACUCAUUUCAGUAGUUUCCUUACUACUAUGAGUAUUCAAAAGAUCUAAAGUUUAGAUUGAAAACAAAAAUUAAUUUCACGAUAUAAUAAAAGGAUGAAAAAACAUAUUUAAUUUUAUGUAGAUCACAUAACUAUCUCAUAAUAAAAAGAUAAUUGAUGAAAAAACAUAUUUAAUCUUAUAUAGAUCACAUAACUAAAAUUAUGAAAAUGCCCCUACGAGGUAAAGAAAAUGUUAUGUGAAAUGACGAAAAUAACUUUAAAUGAAAGAGGAUGUGGAUAAAAAAUAAUUUCUGAAUUUCUUUUUCGGAAUAAAUUUUCAGAACAUAUUUAUGAAUUUUGGAAAUUCUUUUCCAUAUGCAUUUCCAGAUUUUGUAUUCCAGAUUUUGUGUUUCAGAAUUAUUUUUUUUUCAGAAUGCAUUUUUUGCAUUUUGGAUUUCUUUUUGUGGAAUGGGAUUUUGAUUUUUGAAUUCUGAAUUUUUAAAUCCAGAAUAAAGGGUGAUUUUGGAAAAUUUGAAAAUGAUAGGGUAUAGAUUCAAAUUGAUAUGGUGUAGGAAGAAUUUGCAUUGUUUUUGCUAUGAGCAUGGCCUACCUAGGCCUGUCUCUAUACAAGCCCACUCUGAUAGCCUUUCUGGAACAGAUCAUAGAAUUUUAGGAUACAAGAUGGACCAGAAAAGCCCAAAGCCAACAAAAAUUAUAGCAGUGUAUUAAAGAAAAGGCUAUGCAAAAAAAGAUAAAAUAGAUUUUUAAUCUCAUUACUUUGUGGUCUUUUUUUUUCUUAAUCUCUGCCCAUUAUUUUAUAGUUUUAGUCUCUUAAUUUCAAAGUUAACAUUUUAAUAUCCAUUUAUGUUAACUAAUGAUGUGUCCAACAAUUAUUUUUUUUUUCUUCUAAAAACUUGAUGAAAGUCGUUUUCAAUUUUCCGUCCUACAAAGUCAUCCUAUCGUUAUCGACAAACUGUUAAAAAUGUAUGUUAAUCAUCACUAUGAAAUUUGUCAUCUUAAUUAGUUGUACCUCAAAAUCCACUAAUCAUUUAACAUCACAUGAAACAUAACAUAAAACAAAAAAUAAAUGAACAUAAAAAAAUACUAAACCAAAAUUCAUAUAAGAAGAAGGAACAUGUUCUAAACACGAAAUAAAGAAAAUUGAUAUCUGGUGUUAAAAAAAAAACACAGAAUAAAGAAAAUUGAUAUAUGUCAUAAAAUAAAAUACACAAUGAGGCAUAAUAGACUCCAAAAAAAGUCUACCUUCUUAUCAACAAUUAUCCUACUCACUACUAUCUUGUGAUAUUUUUUCCAUAUGACCAAUUUCAGCCCAUGUAGUUCCUAGGAUUAUAUCCAAUGAGACCAAGAUCACAUGAUUUCAUUUAGUAAAAGAAAAUAUUUGAUGCAGCAUUUUGUGUGACCAAGUCCUAAUCCAACUAAGGUACACAUGCAGGACAGCAAUAUGUUGAUGAUGAGAAUAGAUGGAGAAGUAAAAGCAAAGGAACAUAGCAUUUAUGCAGCAACAACCCAAAGGAUUGAAGAUGGGACCUAAAUCAAACCCAUGUUGCAAUAAUUACACGUGACCACACCACACCUAACUGCUAACUAUUCACUUGAUAUUGCUGAGAGCACAUGCAAGUAGCUAUUAAUUUAAAGUGUUUGACUAAAUUCAAGCCAUCACCAAAGAAUGUAGCAGAUACUCUCAUUCAUUUCCCUAAUAUCAUUAUGCCUUCCCCAUUGCAUUUGGCAAUAAAUAACUUCUGGGAUUUCACAAAGUUUUGGUUUCACAUAGCUUUACAAUUUUGGAAUCACAUAAUGCUUAGUUUGAGUAAGACCUGUCAUAUUACUCAACCAUAGAUUCUGUGUGUCACUUUCUCAGUUCUCAGAUUAUUGUAUAACAAAGAGUUUUAUGAAUAAAUGAUGUUCUAGGCUUCAAGAAUUGUCUUUCUUUUUAUAUUUUAAAAACAAUCAUUUUAAUUCUUAUAUUUCUAAAGUAUGAUACUUUAGAUCUUAACUAUAUUUGAUCAAGUUAGGGACAAGAUCAAUCACACUUUAUGUCACAGUGCCCACGUGAAACCAAAUGAAGCACUGUGACCAUGUGAAUCACUAGAAUAAAUUAGAGUAAAUUCGAAAUAAGAGAGACUGACAUGACUUUCUCUCUACAUCUCUUUAUUUUGAGAAGAGAGGAUAUUUACGGUUGACAGGUAUAUCUUCUAUUUCUCUUCCUCACAACCCUGGAUUCAAAUAACUGAUAUUCUCUCACUUCUUUGACUAUGAACAGUACAUCCACAAAAGCAAACAGGCUUGGAUGACAAAUUUAUGUUCAUGUGUUGGACUUCUUAACUCUCUCCAUUUGAAUUUGUGAAUAUCACUAUGGCAUCAUAAAGUAUACUUAAUUCAUUGAGUUUCUCUGGUGUUGCAGAAGAGAUGAACAAGAGGAAUCUUUCCCUUUAUUUGUUUUGUAAUUGGAACGAAUGUUCUUGACCAGCCAUAGAAGUUGGAAGCUAGCUGCUUUUGUCUAGUAAUCAGAAUAGCGUGCGAUACCUUUCUCUCCCCUCAGUUUUCAAACCAGACUUCCUCAGGCUAAUGAUUGGUUGCUGGAACAUGUUUUUUCAUCAUUUACAAAAGUUAGGAAGGGAACUCAACACUGAAUGUCACUAACUUUUGUUGAACUUUAGAAAUUGCCAUUCAAUAGUAUAAAUUUGGGAGCACUACUCACAAAAUCAAUUCAAAAACAAAAAAUUCCUCCACUGUCGGGAAACUUUUUGUACCCUGUAUGCCUCAUGAUAUUCAAUGCCCCCUUUUGCUCAUACCCUUUUGAUUAUUUUAUUUUUUCUCCAAGAUUUAGAGUUUCUCAGUUGGGAAGUGUUUAAUUUGGCAAUUUAUAAUAGACUAAUUUGUCAUCAUGACAAGUGGAGAACUAGAAAAGUAAAGGGUUUCUUGCUGCAAUGUGUAUUUUUUGCUGCUUCUUUUGCCACCCUUUAUCCUCUUAUUCACAAAAAUGAAUUGAAGUGGGAGUAGCAAUAACGAGCUAUUCAUUGGGAAUAGUUUGAUUAGGGAAAAAAACAAGGCUAUUCUAAAAAUAAAUGAAAUUUAAUUAGAGUUUUUAAGAACUUCUUAUAAAGCACUGCAGCAGGCACGGAUAUUUGGUAGAUAGUAGCUACCAACUGGCAACCAUUCAUCACAAAUUAAAUUCUCUCUACCAGCCCCUCAGUUAAAAGUACCUUGUAUUUUUCAUCCUUUUGUUUUUCUUCUUAUUGCUUGGUACAAAAUGAGAUCCACAGAAUCAAAUAUCUUAAAUGUUUUAGAGUUUCCAAAAGGACGAAAGAGUGUCAACAAAGUUAUAUGCUCUAAUGCUCAUACACAGCCAUGCCGGGUACACAUCAACUUGGCCCUUGUGCUUUCUGGAGAUAAUCACAACUGGCAAACACCUUUUCAUUUUCACUAAUGUCGUUUACAAUAGCCAAAAUCUUGUUUAGAUGCUAUGUGUAUCAUGUGUUUUCAUGUGAAUGCUCAAUAAUGAGAUCAUUUUAGUUUAACUGAUAAUUUUAAAUUCAAGUUAAUGAAACUGCUUUAAAUAUUUAAAAAGAAAAAUUUAAUCAUUGCUCUAUGGUUAACUAAUGAUCUGUUAUUGUUAUUUUCUAGUCUGUAAAUAAGAGCACAACAAUGAAAGAUCGUUUGUUUGUCUGUAGCCACUAAUAAUAAGCACCAUAAAAGUUGUGGUGAUUGGUGAUUAGUGAGACCAUGUCACCUAGCCACACUGUUCUGACACAGAAAUUUUCACUCAAAGCAAGUCAACAUCUGUACAGAAAAAGGUGUACAAAGGUAUACCUCCAACAAACGCAUUACAUAAACUAAAAAGAAAAUGGGAAAAAUGAAAGGGAGCAUAAUCAGCCCCACCACCACCAGUCCACCACUCUCUUCAAUGUAGCAACCUUAUUUGGGUUCUGGACAAGCUUAGUUAAGAAGCAUACCCUCUUGAAUUAAGCAUUUUGGUAUCUUCAGCUAAAAAUGGAGAAUAGCUGCUUUCUAGCUUUUCUCAUCCUCAUUCUACAUUCAAUUACAACAAAAGCUGCCUUCAGUGUUGGUGGUGGUGUUGGUGUUGGAGUUGGUGUUGGUGUAGGUGUUGGUGUUGGUGUUGGCAACGGAAAUGGCGGUGGCAAUGGUGGAACGGUUUGGGUCGGAGGAGGGAUUAACAGCCCAGAGCCCCCUGGAUCUUCAGUGCCAAAGCCUGAAGGAGCUUACACAGCUCUGCAAGCUUGGAAAUCUGCAAUCACUGAGGACCCUCUGAACAUUUUAGAAAGUUGGGUUGGUCCAAAUGUGUGUUCUUACAAAGGAGUCUUCUGUGCAAAUCCUCAAGAUGAAAUGGUUGCAUCAGCAUUCUCAGUUGUUGCAGGCAUAGAUCUCAACCAUGCAAAUCUGCAAGGAACUCUUGUCAAAGAGCUCUCUCUACUCAGUGAUUUGUCUCUUCUCCACCUCAACACUAACAGAUUCACGGGCACUGUUCCUGAUACAUUCAGAGACCUGGUGUUUCUGGAAGAGUUGGACCUCAGCAACAACCAACUCUCAGGUCCUUUCCCUGCUGCUACGCUGUACAUGCCAGGCCUCAUCUACUUAGACCUAAGAUUCAACUACUUCUCUGGGGCCCUCCCCGAGGAACUUUUCAGCAAGAAUCUGGAUGCAAUAUUUCUCAAUAACAACCAAUUUGAAGGUGAAAUCCCCCAAAACUUGGGUAGUUCCCCAGCCUCGGUGAUAAACCUGGCCAACAACAAGUUGAGUGGAAACAUCCCAGCAAGUUUGGGCUUCAUGGGUUCUAAAAUAAAGGAGAUUCUAUUCCUCAAUAACCAGUUAACUGGUUGCAUCCCUGAGGGAGUGGGGCUAUUCACAGAGAUGCAAGUUCUGGAUGUGAGCUUCAACUCACUUAUGGGUCAUUUGCCAGACACACUGUCAUGCUUGCAAGACAUAGAAGUUCUCAACUUGGCUCAUAACAAGCUCUCUGGGGAGUUAUCAGACGUACUCUGCUCUUUGAGAAGCCUUGCAAAUCUAACUGUUGCUUACAAUUUCUUUUCGGGGUUCAGCCAGCAAUGCUCAAGGCUUUUCUUUAGGAAUGUGGGUUUUGAUUUCUCCCUAAACUGCAUUCCUGGAAGGGACAUGCAGAGACCUCAACCUGAGUGCUCUAUGAUCCCAGGGGGUAGCCUUAGUUGUCUCAGAAUCCCCACUCCAAGGUCCCUUGUUUGUGGUUCAAUGGCUGUAAGUAAGUCUAAGCACAUUGAUCCCAUUUCCCCAUCUCCUUGAUGGUAAUUGCAUUAUCAGUUACAUUACAGAUUGGUCAUAGCUGUUCCAUUAAUUACUGCUGCCAAUCUUCAUUCACAUUCUGCUAAUUUAGUUCUUCAAAGAUUCCUUGUGCAUAUUCGUAAUUAUACAUGCCUAUAUUUUAAAGGAAAAUUAUUUGGGAUGCUUCUAAUAUCUACUCUAUCUACCUUGACCCUCAUCAUGAAAGAUGGAUAGCUUAGUUUAUGGUUCCCGUGACAUGUUUGCUUGAUUUUAGCUACUCUAUUUUGUACUGGUUUAUCACGGGUUCUCCAAUUAUUCCAUCAACAACUUCACAAUACCCUACUUCAUAGCUUCUGAACAGUUAAAUUUGACACCACUGUAAUGCACUAGGUUACAUCACAAGGUUAUAUCUAAAUUACUUGGAAAGGUGCACCUGUCCAAAUUCAACUUCAAUAAUACAAAUGGGGAGAUUGCAUGAGAUUGCCAUUGUGGCAUGCUAAUUCUUCAAGAUAUACCAAUUAUUAGACAGGUAUUAAUGCAGCAAUAAAUAUGCAUACCUCAUAGACUGCAUAUUAGAGGUGCCCUUGUUUUAACAACCUAACAAAUUUAAACCAUUUAGUGCUAUUUGGUGAAACCUGCUAAGUAAAACACAAAAUCAAGUAAUAUUAAACCUUGAUACUUCUUUUUAUCUGUUCUUUUAAUAUUUAAUGAACAGAUAUCAAAUAAGAAUGCAAUAUAUUUAAUAUCUUAAUCUAUAGAAAACGUUAUUUUUGUUUUGUUUAGUGAGACAACUAUUAUGAAGCUCUUGUUUGAAAAAGAUUUAAAAUUAUUCCUCAAAAAACACCCUGAUGUCGAUCUAGUUAGAGGUUUGAAUAAUUUGCAUGAGAUUCUAGAUUCUAGAUUCAAGCUUCAGCACCAUUGUACACUAAAAUGAAGAGAAUCAUUCCUCGGUUUUAGAUUACCAUGUUCCAACAGACAACAAACAUUAUAUUAUAUUACCAUGAAAAAUCACGGUAGGGUACAACAACUGAGCAAUCCAAUCGUGAAACAUAAUACAGAUUUCUGAGAAGACAUUGCUAUGGAAUAUAGUACAUUGGGUUUGGGAGUUUGAAAGACCGUGCAGCAACUGCAUAACCCCACAAAUCACUCCACUGAUCCCCAGAGCUCCCAUGAAUCCUGUAACCUUCGUUCUCCAACUCUUCUCUCUUCUCAGACUUGUAACUAAUGGCAGGUUUGCCUUUAUCAUAAGACUCUCUGUUUCAUUGACAAAGAAUAUCAGUUGAAACUUGUUCAAUAAAACAAGACACAUAUUUCCAAGAACCAGUAAUUUAUGUACCUUAAGAUAAGUCUCUCCCAAUUUCUGUACCCUGAAAGCAUAAGGUUUGCCUCCGUGGCAUUCCUUUGAUACUCACUCCUCCCAGUUAAGAGAAAUAUCCUGAACCCCAAUUCCUUAAGCUCGUUAUACAAAAUCAAAUUGGGUACCAAAGCUGGGGCAGCAGCCGAGUUCACCCAAGCAUCAAAGGAAGUCUCAUUGAAGAUCUCAAACCUGCAGUUCAAAGUUAGAAACAAAAGCCAUAAUCAACUCUAACAAAGAAAUUCACAUAAAGCAACUGCCAUCUAUUAAGAAAAUCACUUCUAGAUUUCAGAUUUCACUCAUUUUUUUAUUGAAAGAAAGAACACGAAGUCUUUUGGCUAAAAUUAACUUCCGACUAGGAAUAGCAACCACAUAGCAUCUAUGUUAGUUAUGACUUUCAGUUAUUCUUUACCUUUAGGCAACGUUUUCAAUUCGUGAAAAUAACAGAAUCCUUAAUGAUUACAUUACAUUUGAAGAAACCCAUCUUCAAAACAGUUCAGAUUUCCUUUUCUUAAAGGCUAGUUUCAUCGAGUGUCAUACAUCCACGACUUUUAACGCCCAUCAGAACUUACAUCCAAAACAGAUUCUCAACUAAAGAUUCCCGCUGCAAGAUAUAUGAUAAGAAAAAAUGCAUUUGAAAAAGUUUAUUUACAGUUAUUUAGACUUAAUAAGUGAAGUAGGCAUGUGCUUAAUUUUUCUUUUUUAAAUAUGAUAUGAAAACAAUUUAGGCUAUGUGUGGUUUUAAGUUUGGAUUGUUCCAAAUUCAGUUUGGAAAGAAAAAUCAACUUCGAAAAUAUUUGGUUACUGUACAUUGAGAUUUUGCCUGAAAUCUCAGUUUCAUAGAAGUAAGACUUAGGUUAAGUUAAUCUUGUAAGCUUGUUUUACAAACUUAUUUUAACCCAAACAUAGUUGUACAAAUUUUAAUCCAAAUAUAGGUAUACAAAUUUUAAUCCAAACACUCGGUUGUCAUGGAAGCUCAAGGCAGGGAAGGAAGUUAAUAGUAGAUGAGAGAUAUAAAAGAAUCCUAUGUGUAACAGCAAAUUAAUUGACAUAGUGCUAACCAAUGCCAAGGCAGGUCCAUAUGGGGGAUAUAUGUAGUGGGAUAUCUUUUCUGAUGGCUACAUGGUUGAGUAUCCCUAAAUACUCCCAUUUAUUCAUUUUUGUUUUGCUGAUUAAAAUAAAUAUACCUCAAUUUAAUAUUGUUUCAACCCGAAUUAUAAAAACAACUUACACAGAUAAUAAAAACUUAUUUAAUACAAUGAUCACCCAUCUAAACUAUUUGAUCAAAUAAUUAAGUCUCAGACCUUUUUUUAUCCAGUAAACCAUUUUCUCACUGCUAAAUGGAACAAUUUAAAUGUAAUAAAUAAAUUUAGAUAUUGUUUUGGUAAGCUAAUGCAAUUUAUAUUAUAAUUACUUUGGACAAAGCAUAAGAACUGCACUACCUAAGAAUAAAACAACUCCAGCAAGCAUAUAAGCGUAUAACAAUGGCAUUGCAUCAUACUUUGAGCUACCCAUGCAUCUUUUUCAUAUCAUUGACCCACCCAUAAGAUAAACAUCGCACUGCCCAUCCCCUUUGUCUCUUUCUUGCUUUUGGUUAAAAAGCUUCAAAGCAAAUCCAUGCAGAACUUUCAACCCAUGAGAUAAAUUUGGAUAUUAUAUGGCUGUUAAAUCCAAAUUUAUAAUUCUCAUUUUUUACGACAACGAGCUCUUAUUUUAUUUAAUACACAUGUUUAGUCUAAGAUUUCAUAAAAAUGGACAUUCUAUAGACCUUCAACGACUAAUGUUCACAUGACCGCCCAGAGAUCUGACAGGUCCAACAUUAAUUCUUUCAUACGUGUCAAUUGGACAUAUGCAUCCAUAGUGACUACAGUGGAUGCAAUUGGAGUCUAUCAAUAAACUUCAACAGCCUUUCGUACCAUUAUUUCAUAUAAAUGGUUAUUUAAAAGAGUAGGUUAGAAAAUCUACCAUAAUUACAUGUCGGUGUCGAUCGACACAUAGAAUACACGUAUCCGUGUCCAAUUCAAUAAAUAUUAGUUGGAUUUCUGAUAAUUUUAAUAAAGUUCUAACAUAAUUUUAAAAAAGAAAAACACAAUAAUUUUCUAAAAACUCAAAUUUAUUGUAUAAAUUUUUAUUAUAAUUAUAAAAAUAAGAAACAAAUCAUUUUGAACCAGUCAUGGAAAAACAUCUUUCUGCUCCAAAAAAUAAUUUAGAACAUACUUGUGCACAUAAAUCUUUAUUGUCAAUUUAUAUAAUAUAUAGAUAUGUCUUUCAGUAUCCUACAUUUUAGAGAUUAUACAGAGUGUCUGUGUCUGUGUCGUAUUAGUGUGUCUGUGUUAGAAUUUGUGCUAAAUAGAUUACUAAUAUGAGUAAAACCUGAAAGAUUUGUUUAUUAAUUUUGCAAUCAUAAUAAAAUUUUAUAUAAUAAAUUUAAAUUUAAAAAAAUAUGUAUUUCUGUCAUUAAAAUUGUAUUAAAUUCGUGUUAAAAUAUUGAAAUAUUUUUUGAAUUGAAGAUUUUGGAAUAUCUUAUCCGAUGUGUAUAUGAAACACAGACACGCUACGUGUUUGAGCCUCUUAGGUUGAACCCUAAUGAACUUGAGUACACACAUUCCAAUCAAAAUUCAAGGGCUACAAAAGCAAAAAUCUAAAACCAAUCAACAACAUCAUCGCUUACCCGAAUCCAAUGUCUUCAUAGUAAGGCACGUUGGAGAGGAGCGUCUCAUCGAUAUCGAACACCCACGCAUCUCGUCCGUCUCCGACCAAUCUCACGCUCCUCGCGAACGCCAGCGACAAAUUCCCGACCACUUCGCAGUCCCUCCGGUACCUCUCUCCGGAAAUGUACUCAGCCACGAAAUCCACGCAAUUCGCCGGCACGCGCUCCCACGGCCCCGCAUUGUUCGUCUCCACCGCCAGCCUCCAGCUGUCGCAGUAAUCGCUCGAGAUCGCCUUCUCCGACGGCAACCUGAGGAUCGGCUCCGAAAGAACGUGGCUGAGCGUUGAGAGAGCCACCAGCAGGGACAACAGACACACGCCGGAAUCCAUCGCCGGAAAACUGUUAGGCCUCAGAACGGACCCGGGCUCCGGCGACUGCUUUUCUUUUUCUUUUUUCUAUAUAUAAAAUAAAAAGGAGAAAGAAAAAAAUGGUUUUCAAAAUGAAACUGAAAAUAAUCACUCUUCGUUCGCAUCGUGUUGGGUUUUAUGGGCUUGCAAAAACCUGAUCCUGAAUAUUUGUUUUUUUUAACUUUCUAAAUUUAUAUUUUACUUUAAAAAAAAAAAAACUUAUGCAAUAAAAAAGAGAAAACAAACACAUGAACUAAAAUGACUUUUUUAUUUUUAUUUUUUUCAUCAAAAUUAAAUAAAUCGGAUUAAAAAAGAUGUGUUAAUUUAAAUUUUAAACAGUGUUGAUAUAGACAUUCUUUUUAAAGUUUUACUAAAAUAGAAACACUCGUUGCAUUCUAAAAAUAAAAAGUUGACUCUGUAUUCUUGUUCUGCCUAAAAAUAUCAUACCUUAUUUCUAUGAAUUUUUGUUGGAGCAUUAAGAAUUUUCUUCUUCUAUGGGGCUAUUUCAUAAGUUGAAGUUAAUUCUUA
RNAcentral lists this long non-coding RNA (35259 nucleotides) under Phaseolus vulgaris (common bean). RNAcentral describes it as "long non-coding RNA (PVUL_LNC003721)". The record is from RNAcentral. Lineage: Eukaryota; Viridiplantae; Streptophyta; Magnoliopsida; Fabales; Fabaceae.